Molecule: long non-coding RNA, 930 nt
Filed under: Triticum aestivum (bread wheat)
Lineage: Eukaryota; Viridiplantae; Streptophyta; Magnoliopsida; Poales; Poaceae
Description: long non-coding RNA (TAES_LNC000201)
Source: RNAcentral
UUUUUUUCUGUCAAUUUUUUGUCGACUUCAUGGGCCAAGCCCAACGUUGCAGUCUUUUUUAUUGUUGGGCCGUGGCCUUUUUGUCUAAAUAGUUUUAUUUUUCUUUUUUAUUAAAUGGGUCCACUAGUCAAAUGGGUCCCAGUGCAUGUAAUAGUUUAACUCAUGUUAACUAGCAGUAACCUUCACAAGACAGCCUCAAACGAACCAUCAAGUCAACUCAUGUUUACAGCUAACAGCAGCAAGUGUAUGUAUUUGUUUAACUCAUGUUAACUAACAGUAACCUUCACAAGACAGCCUCAAACGAACCAUCAAAUCAACUCAUCAUACAACACAUUUACAGCUAACAGCAGCAAUACAUCAUACAUCACAGAGAACGGUUCACAAAAACUGACAAACUAAACUAGAGGCACAUCAUAAGCUCACAAGCAUGGCUGCCGCAGUAGUUUGUUUCGCCAGUAAAGACAGCGACUUUCUUCCUCGACCAGACAACAGCCCAGCUCACAUCCUCUACCUCCUCACAGGAGGCGCGCCACCUCGUCUCCUUCAACAGGGGGAUCACCACCACGUCCACCAGCAGCCUGCAUGAAUCAAAACAUGAAAAGAGCAACAUCUAAUUAACUUGAUUGCCUUGCAGAUGACACACAAGAUGAAGAGCACUUGGACAGAAGCUACUAUACUUGUGGCUGUAAUUAACCUAACCUAAUCUAAUGGGAACAACAUCACAAUUCACAAGCAAGCACCCAUACUCUCAAAUUCAGUAUACAGUUGCCAACUGAAAUAAGUUCAGUUGAAAGUAGAGCAGAGAACAAGAAGGAUCAGCAGAGAGCUCACCAUGGCUGUCAUGUGGCCGACGUGGAAGAGGCAGCAUGUCCGUCCAAGCAGGAUCAGCAGCGCCAGCGGACGGGCCACUCAUUGUCCUGGAUCUUUGCC